UAAUGUUUUCUAUGUUGCUAACGUAUAUGAAUUAUAGUGACUAAAUUAUACAAAUGCCCUUAUGUAAAUAAAAUUACACAAAUACCCUUGUGUAAGUAUUGUGUAUACAAAAAAAGAUUAUGGAAUUAGUAAUUCAAACAGAUUGACACCUAAACAAAAUGAAAUUAAAUAAAAGAAAUUUGAAUAAAAAAAAUGUAAGAAGAGAGAGAAUUAAAACCUCAUUUCUAUCUUAAGGGCAACACUAUUGUAUUGGAUUUAGAAUGCAGACGAAGUGUGUACCUUUUUUGAAUUUCCCUCGGAAUGGAGCAAUAUAUAAUUCAAAUGUCUACACAUCAUCAACAAAAAUAAUUUUAGUCUUGUAAUAUAAAUAAAAAACCUCAUACUUUCAAAAGAAAAUCCUUAUAAAUGAAUAGGUACAAAUUAAGUCCGUCGACAUUGUACAACCCUUGCUAUUGUAUCAUAUUCAUAUCAUUUCAUUUGAAAACACUUCAUAUAGAACCUGUAAAGUCUGAGAAAAAUAAACAUAAAAAAAUAAUUAUUUAGUGGCCAAUAAUAAGAAGAAAAAGGAAAGACCC
RNAcentral lists this long non-coding RNA (575 nucleotides) under Trifolium pratense (red clover). RNAcentral describes it as "long non-coding RNA (TPRA_LNC004826)". The record is from RNAcentral. Lineage: Eukaryota; Viridiplantae; Streptophyta; Magnoliopsida; Fabales; Fabaceae.